CCCUUAGAUGUUCUGGGCGGCCCGCGCACUACAAUGGCGUGUGCAGCGAGUGCCGAAGUAGAGUUUUCCGAGGUAUUCUUGCAAUGCUCGUUUUGAUGGGGAUAGACCCUUGCAACAGUUGGUUUUGAACGAGGAAUUCCUUGUAAGCAUGGUUUAUCAUCCGACGCUGAAUGCGUCCCUGCCCUUUGUACACACCGCCCGUCGCUCCUACCGAUGAGUCGUCCGGUGAAGUUCGUAGACCUCGUGAUUGCGGAUCACUGGGGGAAGCAAAAUGAACCUCGCGGUUUAGAGGAAGGAGAAGUCGUAACA
This 309-nucleotide ribosomal RNA is filed under the name uncultured eukaryote. RNAcentral describes it as "partial 18S ribosomal RNA". It matches the Rfam family "Eukaryotic small subunit ribosomal RNA", at positions 1470 to 1796 of the family's 1831-position model. The record is from RNAcentral.